UACGUAGGCAGCAAGCGUUGUUCGGAGUUAUUGGGCGUAAGGAGCUCGUAGGCGGUUCGGUAAGUCGGGUGUGAAACCUCCAGGCUCAACCUGGAGACGCCACCCGAUACUGCUGUGACUAGAGUCCGGUAGGGGAGCGUGGAAUUCCUGGUGUAGCGGUGAAAUGCGCAGAUAUCGGGAGGAACACCAAUGGCGAAGGCAGCUUGCUGGGACGGUACUGACGCUGAGGCGCGAAAGCGUGGGGAGCAAACAGG
Molecule: ribosomal RNA, 254 nt
Filed under: uncultured bacterium
Lineage: Bacteria
Description: partial 16S ribosomal RNA
Rfam family: Bacterial small subunit ribosomal RNA
Source: RNAcentral